ACGCUCGACACCUACGGGGGGCAGCAGUCGGGAAUAUUGCGCAAUGGAGGAAACUCUGACGCAGUGACGCCGCGUGCAGGAAGAAGGUUUUCGGAUUGUAAACUGCUUUAGACAGGGAAGAAAAAGGACAGUACCUGUAGAAUAAGCUCCGGCUAACUACGUACCAGCAGCCGCGGUAAUCUGAGCGGGCUGGCAAGGC
RNAcentral lists this ribosomal RNA (199 nucleotides) under uncultured bacterium. Its description in RNAcentral is "partial 16S ribosomal RNA". It matches the Rfam family "Bacterial small subunit ribosomal RNA", at positions 328 to 539 of the family's 1533-position model. The record is from RNAcentral.